UUAUUAUAAUUCUUAACUAAUUGACCACUUGUUGGGUUCAAUCUAUUUUGUGUUGGCCCCCCAACAGCCUCACCACAUUAUGCAAUAAAUAACUCUCUAGUAUGUCUAUCUCUUAAAUGUCUCAUCAACGAACCCGUACCCCCUUUAUUGCCUCCGGUUUUAUGCUCAUGUAUAACUUCAUAAAUAUUGUAUUGCACCUUACUUUAUCCU
Molecule: long non-coding RNA, 210 nt
Filed under: Capsicum annuum
Lineage: Eukaryota; Viridiplantae; Streptophyta; Magnoliopsida; Solanales; Solanaceae
Description: long non-coding RNA (CANN_LNC014591)
Source: RNAcentral